GCCAUGCAAGAUACCAGCCUUCACGUGGCGCAUGGUGAGCAACUGCUUAACCGCAGGCUGAUGGUAUCA
Molecule: non-coding RNA, 69 nt
Filed under: unclassified sequences
Source: RNAcentral